GUGUAAUAGCCUAAAAUGAUUAGAUAAAGUGUUAUUUGAGGAAGAAUUAGUUCAAUUAAAGUGUUAAUUGAGUAGGGACUAAAUUGUAAAAAUUAUAAAUUUUGGGGUAAAAGUGUAAUUUCAAAAAUUGAAGGGCAUAAAUUGAGAAGUGAAUUAGUAUUGAAUUAGAUGCUAAUGAAUGAACAAUUUUAUAUUAUAGAUCGAGAAUCCGAAGAUAAACGCGGAAAAGAGAAAAUAUCAAACUAGUCCUUAAACUUUUACAACUCCUACAAAUUGGCCCAUGUAAGUUCAUACGGCUGAACUUUUAUGAUUAAUUGUUAAUGUGGGAAUGAUUUAAUGUAUUAAUUCGUGUAUUGUUAAAUUAUGAUUAUUGUAAAAAUGUGAAAAUCAAAUUGUAAGUUCAAAUUAAGGGAUACAUAGGAUUGAGUACGUACGUUCAGUAACCAGUGAUGAAUUGACGAAUAAGUCCAUGGUGGAUCCAUGGAAAAGUGUGGAACGUAGGUAUGGUAAUUCAGUAAAGAAAACCAUACUGAGUUGUGGAACGUAGGUAUGGUAUUUCAGUGAAGAAAACCAUACUGAGUUGUGAAACGUAGGUAUGGUAUUUCAGUAACGAAAACCAUACAGAGUUGUGAAAAGUAGGUAUGGUAUUUUAGUGAAGAAAACCAUACUGAGUUAUAGCAUUGUAAAGGAUUCAAACGUAUCGUGGCACCGGGCAAACGAUGUACUCAAAUUCGUAAGAUGAUCAUUAAUUUGACAAGUGUUUGUAAGUGCAAUUGAAGCUAAAUGUUGGAAUAUAAGUUGAUAUUUGAUAUUAAGCUCGAUUGAGUAAAUUCAUUAUUUGAAAUUGUGGUUGGCAGGAAAUGUUGUAUUAUACUUGUUUAUUAUAAUUGUUAGUGAAAUUUUGGUGAGAUUUUAUUAUGAGCUUAUGAACUUACUAAGCUUUCUGUAAGCUUACUUGUGUGUGUUUAUUGUUUCUUGUAGAUUGAUGUAUAUAUAUAUAUAUGUUCAGAGGAUCGAAUGUACAUCAAGGAUCACACUAUCCAGAUUUACUCCGGUAGAUUUUGUUAAACAUCUUUUUUAUUUAUAUGGCAUGUAUAGGGGUUGAAGUAAUAAAGUAAUAGUAUGAAUGAUUAAAUAUGCAAAGUAAAUUUGAAUGUGAUGGUUGUGGUAGAUAUGGAAAUAUACAUGUUUUAGCUUGAAAUGGUUGAUUGUGUUUAAGUUCGGUAGUGCCUCGUACCCUGUUCCGGCGUCGAACAUGGGUAAGGGGUGUUACAAUUUUCGUCCACACAAUCUACCUUAUACGAAGACCUAGGACGUGUCGAAGACCUAAUUUAUAUUAUUAAAGUAUUUCAAUUUAUUUUCUUUUGCAUUUGGUUUAAUUAUUUAUUCCAAUCAAUCAAUUUG
This 1404-nucleotide long non-coding RNA is filed under the name Gossypium raimondii (Peruvian cotton). Its description in RNAcentral is "long non-coding RNA (GRAI_LNC009081)". Lineage: Eukaryota; Viridiplantae; Streptophyta; Magnoliopsida; Malvales; Malvaceae. The record is from RNAcentral.